AUUGAACGCUGGCGGCAUGCCUUACACAUGCAAGUCGAACGGUAACGGGUCCUUCGGGAUGCCGACGAGUGGCGAACGGGUGAGUAAUAUAUCGGAACGUGCUCAGUAGUGGGGGAUAACUGCUCGAAAGAGCAGCUAAUACCGCAUACGACCUGAGGGUGAAAGGGGGGGAUCGCAAGACCUCUCGCAAUUGGAGCGGCUGAUAUCAGAUUAGCUAGUUGGUGGGGUAAAGGCCUACCAAGGCAACGAUCUGUAGUUGGUCUGAGAGGACGAACAACCACACUGAGACUGAGACACGGCGCAGAUUACUACGGGAUGCAGAAGUGGGGAAUUUUGGACAAGGGGCGCAAGCCUGAUCCAGCAAUGCCGCGUGCAGGAUGAAUGCCUUCGGGUUGUAAACUGCUGUUGUACGGACAGAAAAGCCCCGGGUUAAUACCCUGGGGUCAUGACGGUACCGUAAGAAUAAGCACCGGCUAACUACGUGCCAGCCGCCGCCGUAA
RNAcentral lists this ribosomal RNA (500 nucleotides) under uncultured bacterium. RNAcentral's name for it is "partial 16S ribosomal RNA". It matches the Rfam family "Bacterial small subunit ribosomal RNA", at positions 30 to 523 of the family's 1533-position model. The record is from RNAcentral.